CCUACGGGAGGCUGCAGUGGGGGAUAUUGCACAAUGGAGGAAACUCUGAUGCAGCAACGCCGCGUGAGGGAAGAAGGUCUUCGGAUUGUAAACCUCUGUCCUCAGGGACGAUAAUGACGGUACCUGAGGAGGAAGCUCCGGCUAACUACGUGCCAGCAGCCGCGGUAAUACGUAGGGAGCAAGCGUUGUCCGGAUUUACUGGGUGUAAAGGGUGCGUAGGCGGCCCUGCAAGUCAGGUGUGAAAACUUUGGGCUUAACUCAUAGAUUGCACUUGAAACUGGGGGGCUUGAGUGAAGUAGAGGUAGGCGGAAAUCCGGGUGGAUCGGAUAAAGGCGAGAUGAUAGGGAAGGACACGGGUGGGGAAGGCGGCCUGCUGGGCUUUAGCCGACGCUAGAGCAGGAAAGCGGGGGUAGCAAACAGGAUUAGAUAGUGGGGUGGUC
RNAcentral lists this ribosomal RNA (440 nucleotides) under uncultured bacterium. RNAcentral's name for it is "bacterial SSU rRNA". It matches the Rfam family "Bacterial small subunit ribosomal RNA", at positions 338 to 795 of the family's 1533-position model. The record is from RNAcentral.